RNAcentral lists this ribosomal RNA (253 nucleotides) under uncultured bacterium. RNAcentral describes it as "partial 16S ribosomal RNA". It matches the Rfam family "Bacterial small subunit ribosomal RNA", at positions 524 to 776 of the family's 1533-position model. The record is from RNAcentral.
UACAGAGGUCCCAAGCGUUGUUCGGAUUCAUUGGGCGUAAAGGGUGCGUAGGUGGCGCCGUAAGUCGGGUGUGAAAUUUCGGAGCUUAACUCCGAAACUGCAUUCGAUACUGCGGUGCUUGAGGACUGGAGAGGAGACUGGAAUUCAUGGUGUAGCAGUGAAAUGCGUAGAGAUCAUGAGGAAGACCAGUGGCGAAGGCGGGUCUCUGGGACGUUACUGACGCUGAGACGCGAAAGCGUGGGGAGCAAACAGG